Mizuhopecten yessoensis (Yesso scallop) is the source of this 686-nucleotide long non-coding RNA. RefSeq lists it as uncharacterized. The record is from RefSeq and is a predicted model, not a curated record. Lineage: Eukaryota; Metazoa; Mollusca; Bivalvia; Pectinida; Pectinidae. The transcript has 4 exons.
AACUGAACAGACGGCUAGCUAGCUAAAGCAACGACACGAAAUUUCUCAGGAUAAAACUAUAGACCAGUAUUUGUACACACCAUGGACAACAACAAUAACAACCAGAUUCUUGACGAAGAAGGAUGGCCGAACGAUGUAUAUGGGUUUCUGAGGGGGACUCGGUCAAAUGGAUAGAACUUGUGGGUCACUUUCUUGAUGGAGGAUAAGGUCGGACUAAACGAUACAAAUAACGAUAAACAAAGUAGAUUUCUUGAAAUCGGGAAGGAGGAACGGAAUGAGAUGGUUGAGGAGCAGAUGUCGGUGAAUGAGGGGGAGGAAGGGAUGAAUGAGGAGGAGUAUUACAACCCGUAUAUUCGGUUGUAUGCCGACUGUGAAGAUUGGGGAUAUGGUGACGGUAUGCCAGAGGCAUGGAGGCAAUAAAUCGAGUGCACAAGACCCUUGACGCUAGCGACAUAUGAGAUGCAGCAUGAUGAUGCGGGGGCUGUCGGACCCGGAACCCGCCUCAGAAUGAAAUUUAUUGAACUGAUGUAUUCAUAACGUUAAAAAUACACGCUCCUUCGUGUAUAUAUUGGUGAUGCGCUUUCUGCCAAAGAAACGUUACGGACUGUGACGAAAUCGAACAAGAUUUAUUGACAACAACAUACUGCAAAUUGUUUUGACUUCGCGCGGCGUUAUUUUCGGGAUAU